UACGGAGGGAGCUAGCGUUGUUCGGAAUUACUGGGCGUAAAGCGCGCGCAGGCGGCUAUCCAAGUCAGUGGUGAAAGCCCGGAGCUCAACUCCGGAACUGCCAUUGAAACUGUUUAGCUUGAGGACGAGAGAGGUGAGUGGAAUUCCCAGUGUAGAGGUGAAAUUCGUAGAUAUUGGGAAGAACACCGGUGGCGAAGGCGGCUCACUGGCUCGUAUCUGACGCUCAGGCGCGACAGCGUGGGGAUCAAACAGG
This 253-nucleotide ribosomal RNA is filed under the name uncultured bacterium. RNAcentral describes it as "partial 16S ribosomal RNA". It matches the Rfam family "Bacterial small subunit ribosomal RNA", at positions 524 to 776 of the family's 1533-position model. The record is from RNAcentral.